Podarcis lilfordi (Lilford's wall lizard) is the source of this 70-nucleotide non-coding RNA. NCBI's taxonomy places the organism in Eukaryota, Metazoa, Chordata, Lepidosauria, Squamata, Lacertidae. The record is from the annotation of a GenBank genome assembly.
GGAUAGCUCAGUUGGUUAGAGGAUGGUGCUGAUAACACUAAGGUUGCAAGUUGGAUCCUCGUAAGCAACA